RNAcentral lists this ribosomal RNA (505 nucleotides) under uncultured bacterium. RNAcentral's name for it is "partial 16S ribosomal RNA". It matches the Rfam family "Bacterial small subunit ribosomal RNA", at positions 28 to 507 of the family's 1533-position model. The record is from RNAcentral.
GACGAACGCUGGCGGCGUGCCUAAUACAUGCAAGUAGAACGCACAGUUUAUACCGUAGCUUGCUACACCAUACACUGUGAGUUGCGAACGGGUGAGUAACGCGUAGGUAACCUGCCUGGUAGCGGGGGAUAACUAUUGGAAACGAUAGCUAAUACCGCAUAAUAUUGAUUAUUGCAUGAUAAUUGAUUGAAAGAUGCUAUUGCAUCACUACCAGAUGGACCUGCGUUGUAUUAGCUAGUAGGUGAGGUAACGGCUCGCCUAGGCGACGAUACAUAACCGACCUGAGAGGGUGAUCGGCCACACUGGGACUGAGACACGGCCCAGACUCCUACGGGAGGCAGCAGUAGGGAAUCUUCGGCAAUGGACGAAAGUCUGACCGAGCAACGCCGCGUGAGUGAAGAAGGUUUUCGGAUCGUAAAGCUCUGUUGUAAGAGAAGAACGGGUGUGGGAGUGGAAAGUUCACACUGUGACGGUAUCUUACCAGAAAGGGACGGCUAACUACGUG